CACGUAGGGGGCGAGCGUUGUCCGGAUUUAUUGGGCGUAAAGAGCUCGUAGGCGGUUCGAUAAGUCGGGUGUGAAAACUCUGGGCUCAACUCAGAGACGCCACCCGAUACUGUUGUGACUUGAGUCCGGUAGGGGAGUAUGGAAUUCCCGGUGUAGCGGUGAAAUGCGCAGAUAUCGGGAGGAACACCAGUGGCGAAGGCGGUACUCUGGGCCGUAACUGACGCUGAGGAGCGAAAGCAUGGGGAGCGAACAGG
Molecule: ribosomal RNA, 254 nt
Filed under: uncultured bacterium
Lineage: Bacteria
Description: partial 16S ribosomal RNA
Rfam family: Bacterial small subunit ribosomal RNA
Source: RNAcentral